CGGAGUGUAGCGCAGCUUGGUAGCGCACCUGGUUUGGGACCAGGUGGUCGUAGGUUCAAAUCCUAUCACUCCGACCA
This 77-nucleotide transfer RNA is filed under the name Halothiobacillus sp. Its description in RNAcentral is "tRNA-Pro". It matches the Rfam family "tRNA". From Rfam's summary of the family: Transfer RNA (tRNA) molecules are approximately 80 nucleotides in length. Their secondary structure includes four short double-helical elements and three loops (D, anti-codon, and T loops). RNAcentral also lists the same sequence under 6 other names. The record is from RNAcentral. Lineage: Bacteria; Pseudomonadati; Pseudomonadota; Gammaproteobacteria; Chromatiales; Halothiobacillaceae.